GGUGAACGCUGGCGGCGUGCCUAACACAUGCAAGUCGAGCGAAGCGCCUUACUUGAUUUCUUCGGGAUGAAAGUAUUGUGACUGAGCGGCGGACGGGUGAGGUAACGCGUGGAUAACCUGCCUCAUGCAGGGGGAUAACAGUUAGAAAUGACUGCUAAUACCGCAUAAGACCACAGCACCGCAUGGUGCAGGGGUAAAAACUCCGGUGGUAUGAGAUGGAUCCGCGUCUGAUUAGCUAGUUGGUAAGGUAGCGGCUUACCAAGGCAAUGAUGGGUAGCCGGCCUGAGAGGGUGAACGGCCACAAGGGGACUGAGACACGGCCCUU
This 325-nucleotide ribosomal RNA is filed under the name uncultured bacterium. RNAcentral describes it as "bacterial SSU rRNA". It matches the Rfam family "Bacterial small subunit ribosomal RNA", at positions 28 to 334 of the family's 1533-position model. The record is from RNAcentral.